AGUGAGUGCUUUGGAUCGAGCUUCCCUGUCUGCGGCUUGUAAACAAACAGAAAUAAACCAUGCUGUUGCAUUCUGAACCUAAGGUUUGUGGUGAAGUCUUUGGGGUCCCUAUCUGGGCAUAACAUUUGGUGCGUUGGCCGGGAACCCCAGAGACCCCACCAGGACCCUCAAGUGUCCAGAGGUUUAUUGACAUCUACCGGGAGAAUUUCACAUUAUGGGCCCAGCAGCCAAGACUGAUGCUGUCCUGACACCUGUCCUGCCAACACUAUGAAGACUAUAGGAGCCUGGGAUGAUGGCAGUCUGGGUUUCCACUUGGCUGACAGAUACAUCCAAGCAUCAUUUGCUGGUGACAACCUACUGCAAAUGACUAUGAGCCCUGAACUUGCUGAAAGCUGAUGUGGACCAAUUCAGCC
This is a long non-coding RNA of Peromyscus eremicus (cactus mouse), 413 nucleotides long. RefSeq lists it as uncharacterized. The record is from RefSeq and is a predicted model, not a curated record. NCBI's taxonomy places the organism in Eukaryota, Metazoa, Chordata, Mammalia, Rodentia, Cricetidae. The transcript is spliced from 3 exons.